Long non-coding RNA from Galeopterus variegatus (Sunda flying lemur), 861 nucleotides. RefSeq lists it as uncharacterized. NCBI's taxonomy places the organism in Eukaryota, Metazoa, Chordata, Mammalia, Dermoptera, Cynocephalidae. The transcript has 3 exons. The record is from RefSeq and is a predicted model, not a curated record.
ACAGAGGGGUGAUCUCUGCGAGGGGAAGCAAGGCCGUGCCCUUUGUCACGUCGUUCCUGAGUUCUGCUCUCUGGGGUUCUGAUGGACAAACCGAGGCUCAGAGGAUUGUACUGGAAGAUCGACAUUGUCUCAAGACCUUGCUAUGAACAAAUGUUGGAAUUCGGAUUUCAACUUUUUUUUUUUUGAAAAACAGUACAAUAUUUGGUCUCCCGUGAGAACCGUGCUCGUGUGGUUCUGUAAAUGCUCGUAGCUUUGUCCUUCCUGGGCUCCACGACAAUCGCAUGUGGUGGGAAGGUGAGCCUCCCCAGUGAGCUUGGUGGGGGCCCCUCACUGCCCAGAAACAGAAGCGCGCUGCACGUGGUAACUGCUUUGUAGAUUCUUAUAGAUAUUUUCCAGAGAAAAGCUUUAUUCAGUCCGGACUCUUCAGACUCUUCUGUGAGACACUGUGGUAUUUGUUAGAUACGUGGCCUUUGCUGUGUUAGUGACGCUGUUAGCUAUUGAAGCAUGUCCAAAGACUCAAUCUAUUCCUUCCCAGUAAAGGAUUUUAAUCAAUUUGGUUGUUUGGAUCAUAUUUGUUGAGCUCUGAAUUGAAGGAGAAAAAAACAUUCUAGCAGGAUAUAGACGACUCCCCCUCAGCAAACAAAGAUCCACCACAUAAUAUUAGAUUGGGGCAAAGAUUGUCACAGUUCAGGAAUGUUUUGCAGUUGGGUUCUCUCUAAACUGAAAACAUUCUUUUAACAUGGGGAAUUCCUUUGAGAGCAGUAAAAGUCCUACUCAUAUGACAUAUUACCCCCUCUUGAAUGGAGCCUACUAAAGGGUUAUUAAGAAUUUACCUUUUUGUCAAUAAAGUUCUUUACGGGA